UACGUAGGGUGCUAGCGUUGUUCGGAAUUACUGGGCGUAAAGCGCGCGUAGGCGGCUUAACAAGUCAGAGGUGAAAUCCCCAGGCUCAACCCGGGAAUUGCCUUUGAAACUGUUAAGCUUGAGUGUCGGAGGGGAUAGCGGAAUUCCUAAUGUAGAGGUGAAAUUCGUAGAUAUUAGGAGGAACACCGGUGGCGAAGGCGGCUAUCUGGACGACAACUGACGCUGAGGCGCGAAAGCGUGGGGAUCAAACAGG
This 253-nucleotide ribosomal RNA is filed under the name uncultured bacterium. Its description in RNAcentral is "partial 16S ribosomal RNA". It matches the Rfam family "Bacterial small subunit ribosomal RNA", at positions 524 to 776 of the family's 1533-position model. The record is from RNAcentral.